This is a long non-coding RNA of Mytilus californianus (California mussel), 421 nucleotides long. RefSeq lists it as uncharacterized. The record is from RefSeq and is a predicted model, not a curated record. NCBI's taxonomy places the organism in Eukaryota, Metazoa, Mollusca, Bivalvia, Mytilida, Mytilidae. The transcript has 2 exons.
UGCGCAAGUUGGUACACUUUCUUACUUACAAAGUAUACAGAAAUCUCUCAUCACUUUUUGAACCGGAAAACAGAAAUCGGACGACAAAUGUCUGGAAAAGGUGAAGGCCAAGCUGGAAAAGGGGAAGGCUAAUCUGGAAAAGGUGAAUGCCAAGCUAGAAAUGGUGAAGGCCAAUCAAGUAACGACAACAAUUCUGACUAGUGUAAUCCAACCAGCAUUGAAUAUGAAGGACAUCAGUCUGCUUAUACUGGAACAGGAACUAAGCCAGACCUGGAAAACCACUUCAACCAAAUGAAUCCAAACAAUCAGGAAUAUGAGGGAAAGAAAUAACAAUGAACAUUUAGACGCAUCUGUUUAUAUGAACUUGUGCGGGACAUUUACUGUUUCAGCAACUUGAUAAAUUAAAUUAUUUUCAAUUCAA